CUCUCCUCUCCUGACACCCUGUGACAGCCUUGCCGAGAGCCGAGGUCCCCACAGCUGGCCGGGAGAGCCCUAGGAGGCAGGUCCAGUUUCCCCCUGUUGUAGACACGCGGGAGCCAAGGCCACACAGCCAGGAGGAAGGAAACUGACACCACAUCAAGUGACCAGAGAUGCUGGGAAUCCCCUAAUUCCUCUCCUUUACUGAGAUAACAGACAGAGCAGAACAAAAGAAUGAUCACUCUGAGCACCCGAGAGCAGAGAAGCUAGGAAUGCCCUUGCCAGCCCCUGCAUCCUGGAGAAUCUGGUCCAGGACUGUCUGAGUUACCUUCAGGGACCUGCCUGGGAACAUAAAUGAGUGAGCUGGGUUGAGCAGGGGCUACUGUGGUUUAUUUCAU
Gorilla gorilla gorilla (western lowland gorilla) is the source of this 392-nucleotide long non-coding RNA. RefSeq lists it as uncharacterized. The transcript is spliced from 3 exons. Lineage: Eukaryota; Metazoa; Chordata; Mammalia; Primates; Hominidae. The record is from RefSeq and is a predicted model, not a curated record.